Molecule: ribosomal RNA, 301 nt
Filed under: uncultured bacterium
Lineage: Bacteria
Description: partial 16S ribosomal RNA
Rfam family: Bacterial small subunit ribosomal RNA
Source: RNAcentral
CAGUCGCCGCGGUAAUACGAAGGGGGCUAGCGUUGCUCGGAAUGACUGGGCGUAAAGGGCGCGUAGGGGAUGGCACAGUCAGAUGUGAAAUUCCCGGGCUUAACCUGGGGGCUGCAUUUGAUACGUGUUGUCUAGAGUGAGGAAGAGGGUCGUGGAAUUCCCAGUGUAGAGGUGAAAUUCGUAGAUAUUGGGAAGAACACCGGUGGCGAAGGCGGCGACCUGGUCCUUUACUGACGCUGAGGCGCUAAAGCGUGGGGAGCAAACAGGAUUAGAUACCCCUGUAGUCCCUGUCUCUUAUACA